AAACUACGCAAAACCUGUUAUAUAGAUAUCAUCAUAUUGUAACUUGUUAUAUAGAUCCACAUCGAUAUUUUUAAAGGCGUAUGCAUGUACUGUAGGAACGGAACCAGUACAGCCAUACGUACUGUAGGAACGGAACCAUUACAGCCAUACACGGGGACCAAAAUUGGGUGCUUAAGUUUCUGGGGGAGUGAGUAAGUGAUGCACCUAACAUACAAAAAGCGCUCGACACUGCCAUGAAAGUUGCAUAGUUUGCUGUCGUUUGUGUAAUUUCAUCUGACACCUUUAUAGCGUUAAACUUUAUUUUCUGGUUUUGGGUGGAGUAGGUAGACAUGGCUGACCAAGAAAUUGGGCCCGUUGGGUUGGGCAAGAGGGCUGCAGCAGGUGCUGCAGUUUUCAAAGUGCGCGAGGCUGCAAUGGCUAUUCUUCAAACAGAAUCUACUGGUAACCUGAAAGUACAAAAACGGAGUGUCCCAUCGACUCCUUUCAUCGUACCAGAACCUUCCCUAAAACCAUACAAGCGGCCCCCCACUCUGCUAAUGCCAUCCCAGUUGGAGGAUUUACCUGUGAGGUGUGCGGCCAGAACUUCUUCUCUUUUCCUCAGAUGGUGAGACACAAACAGUUCCACGACGAAGAAAGGCCCUUUCCCUGUGGUGUGUGUGGGAAACGUUUCCUGAGCCGCAGCCACUACACUGAGCACCAGCGGGUUCACACAGGGGAGCGCCCCUUUCCUUGCGACCAGUGUGAGCGCUCGUUCACCACACACCACAACCUAAAGCGUCACCACACCAUCCAUGCCAAAGAGGAGGCGUACCGCUGCCGAAAGUGUGGCGUACUCUUCUGCCAGCGUCACGAGUACCCCAAUGGCAUACCUCAACCUGACCUCGAGCCUCGACCUGGGUUCGAAUCCAUGCCCACGAUGCAACCCACACCUCCCAUUCAGGUCACACUCACACCCAAGCAGCUUAAGAAGCUUAACAAGAAGAGCCAUAAUCUCUCAACCAAACAUGAUCAUUCUAAGAAGAAGAAGAAAAAGAGGAGAGUCAAGCAUCCAGGCACAGCAGAGAAAGUACAUUCUGUGCCUCAAGAGGAACUUUGGCCUGUGUUGUUAACUAGAGGAGAAAAAUUUCAAAAAGUUGCGUAUGACAUCGAGGUUAUUCUUUGAUCCUGCAUGAUGAAACAAAUGGGAUAAUCAGUUAGAUCAUGAUUUUUAAAAACAAGAUGAACAUUGUUCUGUUUCUUCUCCACCCAUGUGGAUGCACUGUUUCAUAAAAGGACUUAUACCUCAACACUUGUUUUGCAUCACAUCAUGAUUUUGGUAUUUAUUCCUUCAUUGAGUUUGAGAAAAUAAGAACUUUCUCUCCACCAGUGAUAAUGAUUAGAAAAUAUUUUGUCAAGCAUUUAAAAUGGUUAACAGUCCUCUGAAAUGUUAUGUUUUUUUUUUGUGGAUAUAUUUUUUUGGAUUAUGAUUCAUUCAUUCAAUUAUACUUGAUCCAUUGUGAAGAAAGGGCUAAUUAGACUGUCUAUACAUUAUUAAAUGACUUGCUGUUAAACUAUCUUACUCUUCUGUUACACAUUCAAAACUCAUUUUUAUAACAAAUCAUGUUCAUCCACUUUUUAGAUUACGAUCAUGGAGGCCUGUAGUGUUUCUUGCUGGUUCUCAACCAUUAAAUUGUCCAGAAAUUGCCCUCACCAAUGUAUGUACAUGUAAAUAAUCCUGAGUUUUUUUGUUUAUGAAUUAGGAAUAUCUAUAGUCCGUGUUAAGUGAAUAAUUCUGUUGAAUUGGAGUAACAAUUAAAGUUCCAGAGUCUAUGUCAAA
Long non-coding RNA from Oncorhynchus nerka (sockeye salmon), 1816 nucleotides. RefSeq lists it as uncharacterized. Lineage: Eukaryota; Metazoa; Chordata; Actinopteri; Salmoniformes; Salmonidae. The transcript has 2 exons. The record is from RefSeq and is a predicted model, not a curated record.